Molecule: unclassified non-coding RNA, 1105 nt
Filed under: Hevea brasiliensis (rubber tree)
Lineage: Eukaryota; Viridiplantae; Streptophyta; Magnoliopsida; Malpighiales; Euphorbiaceae
Source: RNAcentral
GGCUCAUUUUUUUUCCUCAGAAGAUAGAGUUUUCAUUGAUUAAAAAGGCCGAGGGCCCAAUAUAGAGAAGGGUACAAAAAAUAAUUAAGAGCAACAACAACGCCCACCCAAAUAGACCCAUCUCUUAAGACCAUAAUCUGUAGCAGGUAAAACCACCCAAACCCAUGACCCAACAACCAAGAAGAGGCAGCCAUGGAUAGCACCACUCACCAAGGUGCUAUUGUCAGUCGUCGGAGACGUCGACCAGUACUAAGUUUGGCGAAGAAAAUAGAAGACUUCCAUCCUAUAUAUGCCAUACAUGGCUUGGUUCAGAUUCUAGAACAAAGAAAACCUCUAUAAAACACUGACAUCUUCUGGAUUUACAUGGCUUCAAGCGAUUUCAACAAAUCUCAGGCCGAGAGAAAGCAUAAUUAAUCUCUCAGAACAUCCCAACAAUCGGCGAAGGAAGGAAAUAGCAGAGCUCUUGGCGACCCACUCUCGCCUUAUGGGAUACAAAGAACCCAACGAGAUACCGACCUCGACUCAGAACAACCUUUCACCAUCAAUAACCAAGGACUCUCACUGAUGUCUGAUUUGUCGUAAUCUGCGAAACACAUAAACAAUAAGAAACAGAACAUAACCAUAGGAAUAAAGCAGCAUCAAGAACCCUCAGCACAAUUGCCCAGUUGCUCAAAAACAAACCAAAAUCAAUAUUUACAUCCCAACACCGGAGCUGGGGAGGGAACCCACUGCCAGGACAAGUGGAAGAAGGCCCUCCCCUCUCUAGAGGGGUAGAGUAAGACUAACGCUACGACAAAAGACUGAAAACAAGUUCUAGAGAAAAGAAAAAGCUAGAGAGAUAGAAGAGUCUUUGUGUUCUGAAAGGCUCAAUUGGUGAAUAUGUUAACAUCUGAACGAAUCCUAGCUAAAAAUCAAAACUAAAGCUUCUUUGACACUUGACAUGAUUUGCAUUUCUAUUGAGGGUAUUCCAUCCAAGAAGAUGGAACAUGCACCAAAUCCAAAACCCAUCCUCUUUCAUGCGAAGCCUAAAAGAAACUAGUGACUUUUGGAUUUAGUUGGUGAAUUCUAAUUGCUUUGGUAGUUUGGUGUUGGAUUUUAAGCCAAU